RNAcentral lists this ribosomal RNA (497 nucleotides) under uncultured bacterium. Its description in RNAcentral is "partial 16S ribosomal RNA". It matches the Rfam family "Bacterial small subunit ribosomal RNA", at positions 28 to 507 of the family's 1533-position model. The record is from RNAcentral.
GAUGAACGCUGGCGGCGUGCCUAAUACAUGCAAGUCGAGCGAACAGACGAGGAGCUUGCUCCUCUGACGUUAGCGGCGGACGGGUGAGUAACACGUGGAUAACCUACCUAUAAGACUGGGAUAACUUCGGGAAGCCGGAGCUAAUACCGGAUGAUAUAUUGAACCGCAUGGUUCAAUAGUGAAAGACGGUUUUGCUGUCACUUAUAGAUGGAUCCGCGCCGCAUUAGCUAGUUGGUAAGGUAACGGCUUACCAAGGCAACGAUGCGUAGCCGACCUGAGAGGGUGAUCGGCCACACUGGAACUGAGACACGGUCCAGACUCCUACGGGAGGCAGCAGUAGGGAAUCUUCCGCAAUGGGCGAAAGCUUGACGGAGCAACGCCGCGUGAGUGAUGAAGGUCUUCGGAUCGUAAAACUCUGUUAUUAGGGAAGAACAAAUGUGUAAGUAACUAUGCACGUCUUGACGGUACCUAAUCAGAAAGCCACGGCUAACUACGUG